RNAcentral lists this unclassified non-coding RNA (434 nucleotides) under soil metagenome. RNAcentral describes it as "partial contains 5.8S ribosomal RNA, internal transcribed spacer 2, and large subunit ribosomal RNA". The stretch from base 1 to 120 matches the Rfam family "5.8S ribosomal RNA", at positions 35 to 154 of the family's 154-position model. The record is from RNAcentral.
GAUGAAGAACGUAGCGAAAUGCGAUACGUAAUGUGAAUUGCAGAAUUCAGUGAAUCAUCGAAUCUUUGAACGCAUAUUGCGCUCUUUGGUAUUCCGAAGAGCAUGCUUGUUUGAGUAUCGGUAAACACCUCAAAGCUUUUGGAUUUUUUAAUCGAAAAGCUUUGGACUUGAGCAAUCCCAACACCAAUCUUUUUGAGAUCGGUGGCGGGUUGCUUGAAAUGCAGGUGCAGCUGGACAUUCUCCUGAGCUAAAAGCAUAUUCAUUUAGUCCCGUCAAACGGAUUAUUACUUUUGCUGCAGCUAACAUAAAGGGAGUUUGACCGUAUUGGCUGACUGAUGCAGGAUUUCACAAGGGUCGGCAACGAUUCUUGUUAAACUCGAUCUCAAAUCAAGUAAGACUACCCGCUGAACUUAAGCAUAUCAAUAAGCGGAGGA